Non-coding RNA from Potamilus streckersoni, 84 nucleotides. Lineage: Eukaryota; Metazoa; Mollusca; Bivalvia; Unionida; Unionidae. The record is from the annotation of a GenBank genome assembly.
GCUCUGGUGGCCUAAUGGUUAGAGCAUCCGCCUCAGAUGCAGGAGGUCGUGUGUUCGAUCCUUGGUUUAGUCAUAUCAAAGACU